Lycium ferocissimum is the source of this 105-nucleotide small nucleolar RNA. NCBI's taxonomy places the organism in Eukaryota, Viridiplantae, Streptophyta, Magnoliopsida, Solanales, Solanaceae. The record is from RefSeq and is a predicted model, not a curated record.
AAACCAUGAUUUGGGCUCUUACUGCAAAUAAUCCUUGAAUCUCUCCCAUGCUUCAUAUAAUUGUUCCCGGUCAUCGCUUAAACUCAUAAAUCUUGUCACGAAUUU